This 396-nucleotide unclassified non-coding RNA is filed under the name soil metagenome. RNAcentral describes it as "partial contains 5.8S ribosomal RNA, internal transcribed spacer 2, and large subunit ribosomal RNA". The stretch from base 2 to 123 matches the Rfam family "5.8S ribosomal RNA", at positions 35 to 154 of the family's 154-position model. The record is from RNAcentral.
GGAUGAAGAACGUAGCGAAAUGCGAUACUUGGUGUGAAUUGCAGAAUCCCGUGAACCAUCGAGUCUUUGAACGCAAGUUGCGCCCGAAGCCAUCAGGUUGAGGGCACGUCUGCCUGGGCGUCACAUAUCGUUGCCCAAUGCCUAUUGCAGUGCAAUAGGAAUUUCUAGGGCGAAUGAUGGCUUCCCGUGAGCGUUGUUGCCUCGCGGUUGGUUGAAAAUCGAGUCCUUGGUAGGGUGUGCCAUGGUAGAUGGUAGUCGAGUUAGAACGAUACCGAUCAUGUGCAUGCUCCCCAAAAUAUGGCCUCUAUGACCCACACGCGUCUUUUGACGCUCAUGACGAGACCUCAGGUCAGGCGGGGCUACCCGCUGAAUUUAAGCAUAUCAAUAAGCGGAGGA